Molecule: ribosomal RNA, 443 nt
Filed under: uncultured Glomus
Lineage: Eukaryota; Fungi; Glomeromycota; Glomeromycetes; Glomerales; Glomeraceae
Description: SSU rRNA
Rfam family: Eukaryotic small subunit ribosomal RNA
Source: RNAcentral
UAGCUAGGCUUAACAUUGUUAGGUCGUCAGCUUCUUAGAGGGACUAUCGGUGUUUAACCGAUGGAAGUUUGAGGCAAUAACAGGUCUGUGAUGCCCUUAGAUGUUCUGGGCCGCACGCGCGCUGCACUGAUGAAGUCAUCGAGUUCAUUUCCUUCAUCGGAAGAUGUGGGUAAUCUUUUGAAACUUCAUCGUGCUGGGGAUAGAGCUUUGCAACUAUUGCUCUUGAACGAGGAAUCCCUAGUAAGUACAAGUCAUCAGCUUGUGCUGAUUACGUCCCUGCCCUUUGUACACACCGCCCGUCGCUACUACCGAUUGAAUGGCUUAGUGAGACCCUCGGAUUGAGAUUUAGAGACUUUAAACGGUUUCCGGAUUUUGAGAAGUUGGUCAAACUUGGUCAUUUAGAGGAAGUAAAGGUCGUAACAAGGUUUCCGUAGGUGAACCUG